AGUGUAAUCCAACUGAGAUAGGAAUAUAUAUAUCCAUUGCUUCAAUAUUCCACAACAUGGAAUGAGAUUUGAUUCCUUAUUAAUGAUUCAGGUUAACCCCUUCCAUCUUUCUUUCAAGUAAGGUUAAAAUGGCCAUCAGUCACAAUCAAACUUCAAGACGGAUCAAGGUUUUCCACUCAACUGAUUUAAUCAAGUAUGUAAACCAAGAGAUAAUGUAUGGUAAGUUUUAUUUCGCCAUGAUUAGACAGAUACAGAAGAAGUCA
This 263-nucleotide unclassified non-coding RNA is filed under the name Hevea brasiliensis (rubber tree). The record is from RNAcentral. Lineage: Eukaryota; Viridiplantae; Streptophyta; Magnoliopsida; Malpighiales; Euphorbiaceae.